This 455-nucleotide long non-coding RNA is filed under the name Brachypodium distachyon (stiff brome). Its description in RNAcentral is "long non-coding RNA (BDIS_LNC002252)". The record is from RNAcentral. Lineage: Eukaryota; Viridiplantae; Streptophyta; Magnoliopsida; Poales; Poaceae.
AAAAAGGCUUUAAAAGUUUUAUUUCAACUUGAACCUUAGGGUUUACACCCAUUUAAACUUUGGAUCUUCAAACCAAUAGGUUUUAUGUAUAAAAGGGGUUUAAUGCAUAUAUAAGCUAUCACAUAAUUUUUGGAUAAUUAUUUGGAGUUGAAAAAGUAUUUGAUUUAAAUGGCUAUAUAGCCCUAAAGGCAUUUAUAGGGCAAAUGUAUUUUUAUAUAUUUUAUUUCGAAGAGAAGCUACUUCCAAAAGUUGUAUCAUGGUAGAACAUGAUUUUGCCAAUUUUCUAGAAUUUAUUUGGACCAAUUUGGAGUUCAAACUCAAAAGAUAUCAAAGAAAUGAGAAAAGCAGAAAAAGAAAAGGCUAAAAGAAAAAAAAAGGGAGAGACGGACCGGCCCGGCCACUUUGGGCCGAACCGGCCCAAUCCCUCGCACGCGCCGCCGCCCAGCCGGCCCAGC